GUCGAUGAGAGGCGUGUCUGCCUUGAGUGCAUUGCAUGAUCUACACGCGUUUCAUUGCGGAGGAAGCCCCCACGUAUAUAUUUCGCCCUUCCGAUUACCGCGGUAGGGAGGUCAGAGCGGUUCUCUUUUCUCAUUUCAAGAAAUAUCGCUUAAGUCAAUGGAGGCAUGACUACGUGGGCAACCACAUCUCGUUCCCUUCAGACGAACAGUACUUGCUUGGACACCUGCCUUUCGAUUCCCGAUAUAUAGCACCAAAUGAAAAUUACUGCAAAGAACUCGUUGAUAUACUGUUAGAAGUUCUUUUACUCAGCUUGUGAUUGCCUUUUGUAAGACAGUCAAUAGCCUUGGUAUAAAGCGGAGAGUGGAGAAACCGCAAAGUUUCUGGACUCGUCGAAUUAGUUUCAUGUUCAGCCAACGCAUUUCCUGACUCGCUCCGAGUUGCUUACCCCGAAAGGUUUUAGAAAUGAAGCGUUAAUGUCGUCUUCUAGGUUUUUGUUAAGCGGCAGGAUAGGAAUUUCUGACAACGUUUUUGUGCCAGAGACGUCUUGUGUAAUGGGAGUUCCCUGUGGCUCCUCGGAAACAAGGUCCUUUUCUGUUUCGCGAGUGCCAAAACUGGCCUUUUGGAAGAGUUCUUCUACGAAGCUUUUAGCUACUACAGUCAGUAGAUCCACUGCUUCCGUAGACGAGUUUUCUUCGGCCUUACUCGAGGGCAUUUCUUGAUGGUUUUGAAGCGUGUCUUUUUCGCAACUUGACUCCUCUGACUGCGGAGGGUAAUCAGAGUUUUCCUGUCUCGUUCCUUUUCCUGGAGUUCCAUUCUCUACAUCCUGUGAAGAUUGUUUUGCCACGUCGGUAAAACACUCGUCUCCCUCCCCGGUGGACGGGUCACCAAACCCACGGUUUGAUUCCGAUGCAGGUUCGGUCUUUUCUUCGGAUGUUUUCCUGUUAGAACGUUUUGCGUCCCCUGCUUCUGCAGGUUUGUCGGGGGUUUUCGAUGGCUGUACGCAAACGUGCAGGGUCUCUGGAGGAUCAGCCGACCCCGCUCGCUGUGGUUGUUUCCGAUGAAGAAAAGGCAUGCAACAAACUAGGCAACUGAGACGUUUUUUACCUCCAUACGCGGGCUCGAGAUGAUGUGCGCGCUCUAUGGAUUGACGCUGCGCUUUGUCGGCGACUUCAACACCAGUAUGUCGGACGCCUUGUAUUUCUUCAUAGUUUCUGUGUUCAUCAGUUUUUUUUCCAUUUUUAGGUCUCCCGUCAUCUGGGUGGUAGCCGAUAUCCGAAUGCGGGGAAGACAUUUUGCCACCAGGCAGCUGGGCGAAACGGGAGAGAGUUCGCCAACGGGAACAGACUGACUAAAUGAGAAGCUCCAAAGAAACCAAAGCAAGACGUUCCCCUGAGUCUUCGCUUUCUCGAAGAGCUUCAAACAAACAAGGCGUGCAGAGGAACUGGCCAAGGACCGGCUUCUCGAAUCGGUUUGUUCCAAGGCUAUACAGAAGUGUAUCGGGUUUCAACGACUGUUUUCCUUAGCCGCUUUGCUGAACGACCGGUGCCAGCUAACGGCAGUUCUUCAACGUUCAGCAUGAGCGAAUGCUUAAUGUGUUUUGUUAGGCCGUUUGCUUUGACACAGCCCAGUUUUAACUUCUGUCUGUUUCUUCGUAGGAAACGCAAGUGCUAAGGGAAUACCUUGGCCGAACGUCAGCGACUGUUGACACGGCCGACGCGGAGCGGUAACAUUAGCUGAGUACUUUAGCUCAUUGUCGAGAGAAAUACGGUGUUUUCUUUUCUGUUCUUCUAAACAGAAUUGCGGCUGCUUCUGCAUGUGCGCCGUCUCGGCCCACAGUUCGUAGUCUACUCGAGUCCUAUGGGUCCACGGAUGCAUAUGGUUGCAGUUCCACAAGAAAAGGCACUCUCUUAUAGAUAUAUCUGAAUAGUUUCUGAACACUGAUCUACGGAAAGUCGAGUAGAGCGUUCAGCGUCGAAUGACCCCGUAAACCGUAAGGACACACUAACUGGUGGUCGGUUUAUCGUUGUAGGUGAUCCGCAAGCAUCAAAAAAUAAUGAUUGUCAAAAAAUCUAGUUUUUCUGAGACGCGUUUCAUUCAAACACCAAAUUCGACAUGAGCUUUGUUUUUUUUAAUCGGGAUUAAACAGAAAUAUAGGUAGUCUAGUAUCCCUUUGGUAACCAGGUGUCUUUGUGAAUGCACAUAACUACCACGAAGCAUUUUGAAUGUGGAUCAUAGGUGUCUCUCCCAGUCUUCUUCUGGGGAAAACCCACGUUUGGUCUUCGACAUUAGCUGGCGAUCUGGUUUUCUUGAUUGAUCCAGAUCGCAGGUAACCUUCCAGUGUGUCAGCGGAUGUACCUUCUUACUUCCGUCUGUCAGAGAACUGAUCCUUAUGUCUGAAUUCCACUGAUUUUUACGGGAGAGAAGCUCGCAUUCGUUCUGAAAGAUCGACGUGGAGGAGCCAUGGCAAGGAGACUCGAGUUCGAAGAGGUUUCGGUCAUGGAUAAUGAGGUCGAAGAGCGACGUCGCUCACUCCUCGAUGUUCUGCAGAAUUCGUUAAGAGGGGCAGUGAGUUUUCAACUUUACGGCACAUACGUUUCCUCCUUGACACUGAAUCGCCUUCCAUCUGUCCGUUUUUCAGGGCGAAAAAAGGAUAGAUGCGAGAGGCAAAGGACGUAUUUCCUCCCCGGAGAGUGGCGUUUGUUGUUUUGACUCCGUUCUUCGGAAGAGAACUCGACCACAUCCACUUACGGAUGGACGUAGUUAUGGAUUGUUUUGCCGUGCCUGCAACGUCUUCCAAAAUCUGACUUUAUGCCCGAUAGCGAGAUUAACCGGAGAACUCAAGCCAUC
RNAcentral lists this long non-coding RNA (2848 nucleotides) under Toxoplasma gondii VEG. The record is from RNAcentral. Lineage: Eukaryota; Apicomplexa; Conoidasida; Eucoccidiorida; Sarcocystidae.